This 393-nucleotide long non-coding RNA is filed under the name Salmo salar (Atlantic salmon). RNAcentral's name for it is "lncRNA (ENSSSAG00000112782.1)". The record is from RNAcentral. Lineage: Eukaryota; Metazoa; Chordata; Actinopteri; Salmoniformes; Salmonidae.
GGUCUACGCUCCACAAACACAUCAAGCAUCUACUAUUAAAUGUGGGCUGGGUUUUCACUGUUGGAAAUGGAUGGACUGUUUCAGGAAAAACCUUCAAGUCACAUAUCAUAUAUGCAAUCUAAGACUUACUAAACCAGUCGACUUAGUUGGCUUACUGCAAAACAAGAACCAUUACUGACCACCUACUUCUGUGUUGGACUACAAGGUGAAACAGCCAUUCUGUUAGAAGGAACAACAUUACAAUGUGAUGGACUACAAGGUGAAACAGCCAUUCUGUUAGAAGGAACAACAUUACAAUGUGUUGGACUACAAGGUGAAACAGCCAUUCUGUUAGAAGGAACAACAUUACAAUGUGAUGAUAUCAGGAUCUCCAAUGUGUUUUUCAUCUGAGUU